UUCAUUCUCAUAUUGAGGCACCCUAACAAAAAUAUCUUCAGCCCAGCCGCCUUCUUUGAUCAAUUUUUUUCUCCACCUGUUUUAAAUCUCAAUAAUUCAUUCUCAAUAAUGGAUAAUUGUUCAAGAAUAUGUUCACUUCUUACUGAUGAUAACACCAUUAUGGUUACAAUUACUCUCCUCAUAAUUCCACUGAAACUCCCAGAAGAUGAAGAAGAUCAAAUCUUCAUCUUGUUGUUGUUGAUUCACUAGCAUAAUGGUAUCUCCUCUCAAAACUCAAAUCUGCACUGAAUCAUCCAGCUGGGGAUCUCCGUUAAGUUGUUCAAUCCAAAACAAUCUAUGAGAUUUUUUCUUGGAUGUUUCAUGUGAAGCUCCACACCCAAUGAGAAUUAAUCGUGAUAUCUUGCGGAUUUUGCUCAAAGAUUCUUCGGUUUAAAUAUUAGAAGAACCUGAGAUGUUGGAUUAAUUGGAGGGGACAGGAUGAUUUGGGAACCGUGACCUUCUUUGUAAAGUCUAGUGACCAUGGGGAUCCACAUGCGCUAGCCAAGCUCAUAGAGAUUUAUGCCUCGAAAACAAAGCAGGAAGAAUUAAAGAUAUUGCAACAAUGGGAGCAACAAACAUGAGAAUUAAAUUGUUACAUCUGAUCUGGGUGAAUCAUGACAAGGAUUUUCUAAGUUGUUCUUCGCAGUUUUUUGUUUUAGUAUCCUCUUGUUUUGUUACUCAGACUGUAUACUGUAGACUAGAGGUGUUACUUAUCAUAUCAAUUGAAUUGCAGAACCUUGAGGGACGAUGCUACACCCAAGAUACUUUCGGAUGGAGCACCAGGGAGUGUGAGAACAAACCGUGGAGCAUGUUCAUAGAUUGAUGUGAAACCCUGAGCAACGUCUCAAACCUCUGCUGCGACUUUUCAGACGUCGAAGAGGUUAUGAUCGCGAGACUAUUGCUUUCUAUGAUACAUUGAUCCUGCUUGAGGGGUCUGCACGAAUUUAAUAUAGAGGCGGUGAAAUGGAAUUGGAGCCCAAAUGUGAUAACUUGUAUGUACUUCUCUAAUUCGUGGAUUUUGUAAGCAAUUUAAACAUGGAAGAAGGAUCCCUGCAGUUUGUAUUACUAUGCAAUCUUGUUAGAUGGGUGUUCCUCUUGUUAUUAACAAACUUAAACUGAAAACAAUGUC
Papaver somniferum (opium poppy) is the source of this 1168-nucleotide long non-coding RNA. RefSeq lists it as uncharacterized. The record is from RefSeq and is a predicted model, not a curated record. The transcript is spliced from 4 exons. NCBI's taxonomy places the organism in Eukaryota, Viridiplantae, Streptophyta, Magnoliopsida, Ranunculales, Papaveraceae.